This 73-nucleotide transfer RNA is filed under the name Stegodyphus mimosarum. It matches the Rfam family "tRNA". Rfam says of the family: Transfer RNA (tRNA) molecules are approximately 80 nucleotides in length. Their secondary structure includes four short double-helical elements and three loops (D, anti-codon, and T loops). Lineage: Eukaryota; Metazoa; Arthropoda; Arachnida; Araneae; Eresidae. The record is from Rfam by way of RNAcentral.
GCCUUCGUGGUGUAAUGGUCAGCACACUGAGCCGGUAUUUCAGAGGUCGGUGGUUCGAUUCCCGGCGAAGGCA